RNAcentral lists this ribosomal RNA (468 nucleotides) under uncultured bacterium. Its description in RNAcentral is "partial 16S ribosomal RNA". It matches the Rfam family "Bacterial small subunit ribosomal RNA", at positions 28 to 507 of the family's 1533-position model. The record is from RNAcentral.
GACGAACGCUGGCGGCGUGCUUAACACAUGCAAGUCGAACGGAAAGGCCCUGCUUUUGUGGGGUGCUCGAGUGGCGAACGGGUGAGUAACACGUGAGUAACCUGCCCUUGACUUUGGGAUAACUUCAGGAAACUGGGGCUAAUACCGGAUAGGAGCUCCUGCUGCAUGGUUGGGGUUGGAAAGUUUCGGCGGUUGGGGAUGGACUCGCGGCUUAUCAGCUUGUUGGUGGGGUAGUGGAUUACCAAGGCUUUGACGGGUAGCCGGCCUGAGAGGGUGACCGGCCACAUUGGGACUGAGAUACGGCCCAGACUCCUACGGGAGGCAGCAGUGGGGAAUAUGGCACAAUGGGCGGAAGCCUGAUGCAGCAACGCCGCGUGCGGGAUGACGGCCUUCGAGUUGUAAACCGCUUUCGCCUGUGACGAAGCGUGAGUGACGGUAAUGGGUAAAGAAGCACCGGCUAACUACGUG